Macrobrachium nipponense is the source of this 1184-nucleotide long non-coding RNA. RefSeq lists it as uncharacterized. Lineage: Eukaryota; Metazoa; Arthropoda; Malacostraca; Decapoda; Palaemonidae. The transcript has 2 exons. The record is from RefSeq and is a predicted model, not a curated record.
GUUAUUGGUAAUCUUGCUUGGCUGCAGGAUAAUUAUAAGUUGAAUAUUGGAACCAACAUGAAGUUAAAUGCUGAUGAAAAAAAAAUUGCCCAUUAGUGAAGCUGCUUCACUUUUCACGUUAACCAUCAAUUUCUAGGCCAGUUGCUUCCGAACUUGAUCUUAUAUGCUGGGGUAAAGAACACACAGGAGUUGCUGGCAAUCCACAGAGCCAUAAGCCACUUCCGACACUUGCUAGAAGAAUGACAAGUCUUGGUUCUGACAGCCCAUCAACCAUUGAUACAUGCUUUCAACAAAAGCGUAGAUGGGUGGUCACCAAGACAACGUCGUCACCUAUCGUUGAUAGCCAAACACUUCUCCACCAUGAUAUACUUGAAGGGCUCCUCCAACAUCAUAGCAGAUGCCCUUCCUCAAAACUCCAUCAACAAGAUCCAGAUCGGGAUAUAUCCCGAAAUGGCAUUAACUCUAAAGGAUGACAAGGACCAACAGACUUCAGCAGGAGAACCUCACCUUAUGUGGUGGGACCCAAGGAUCAACAAUGCUGGAGAGACAACCAUUCCCUGCGAGAGACUACUAGUACCAGUCGCCCUCACCCGUAUCUAGCAUUAGGGUCAAGGAAGAAAGCCUUCAACCUCGCCCACAACCGGUCCCACCCGUCUGCCAGAUACACCAACCAAAACUGUUGGGGUGGCACAUCUAGAGGGGGAAUAAAUGCAGACAUCAAAAAGUGGGCAGUAGAAUCCCUUCCAUGCUAAACAUCAAAAUUAUCAAGGGGCACAAACAGUAAUAUGAAUGUUCCAGACAACACCACAAUGCCUGGACCACAUCCACAUAGGUAUCCCUUCAAGCUCAUCAACAGGAACACCAGAUGGCUGGAAGCAAUACCAGUGAGACAGUAGAAAAUUGUGCAAGAAAAGGAAUUACUGGGACUGAGAAUAGUGUUAGCAAAACUGGCGGACUUCUGUCAAACCCAACAGAGGUGACAACUCUUCCAGACAACUGUAGAGUAUAAGAAAAAAUACAGACGGGGAAGAUGACAUAAAACAUAGCAAGUAAAGAAUAGGAGAUAUAGCAUACUGCAAAAGAGAAAGUUUAUUAGCAAUUGUAACCUAGGUGAUCAUUUUCACUUAUAUUUUUAUAAACUUUUAUAAAACAAGCUGCUUAAUUGUAAAAUUAGGAAAUGUUAA